ACGGAAGGCAGCAGUGGGGAAUAUUGCACAAUGGGGGAAACCCUGAUGCAGCGACGCCGCGUGAGUGAAGAAGUUAUUCGUAAUGUAAAGCUCUAUCAGCAGGGAAGAAAAUGACGGUACCUGACUAAGAAGCCCCGGCUAACUACGUGCCAGCAGCCGCGGUAAUACGUAGGGGGCAAGCGUUAUCCGGAUUUACUGGGUGUAAAGGGAGCGUAGACGGUCUAGCAAGUCUGAUGUGAAAGGCAGGAGCUCAACUCCUGGACUGCAUUGGAAACUGUUAGUCUUGAGUGUCGGAGAGGUAAGCGGAAUUCCUAGUGUAGCGGUGAAAUGCGUAGAUAUUAGGAGGAACACCAGUGGCGAAGGCGGCUUACUGGACGAUAACUGACGUUGAGGCUCGAAAGCGUGGGGAGCAAACAGGAUUAGAUACCCUGGUA
Molecule: ribosomal RNA, 434 nt
Filed under: uncultured Lachnospiraceae bacterium
Lineage: Bacteria; Bacillati; Bacillota; Clostridia; Lachnospirales; Lachnospiraceae
Description: partial 16S ribosomal RNA
Rfam family: Bacterial small subunit ribosomal RNA
Source: RNAcentral